GUCAUGAGAUGUCAAUGCUGUUAACUUGGAAAAAACAGCUUGUCAUUACAACUGAGAAUUUACUGGAACAGUCUGACUGCAAUAUUUCAGACUUUCAAGAAGUUAAGAUCACACCAGGACAUACUUAAAAGCAUUACAAUGGCUUCGAUUAACAAAUGUUUCAAAUGGACCUUCAUCGUCUUCAAUGCACUUUUCGUUCUGACAGGUGCUGGGAUUGUUGUACGGGUAAAUGUUUCAAGGACUAUGGCAAUGAGAGAGGGAUAUUGGAAUUUCUGGCCAGCAUCCCUGUUUGGGGGACUUAUAGCAGGGAUCUCCUUCGUGGGAGCCUGCGGUGCAUACAGAGAGAAGAGACGGCUUCUAAUCUUGUUUUCUGUUCUUGUGAGCAUUGGCAUGAUCAUUUGUCUGAUGGGGCUGUUUUCUCCAUUGGCACAAAGCAUAUG
This is a long non-coding RNA of Sardina pilchardus (European sardine), 440 nucleotides long. RefSeq lists it as uncharacterized. The transcript is spliced from 4 exons. The record is from RefSeq and is a predicted model, not a curated record. NCBI's taxonomy places the organism in Eukaryota, Metazoa, Chordata, Actinopteri, Clupeiformes, Clupeidae.